Molecule: ribosomal RNA, 539 nt
Filed under: uncultured bacterium
Lineage: Bacteria
Description: bacterial SSU rRNA
Rfam family: Bacterial small subunit ribosomal RNA
Source: RNAcentral
UCCUACGGGAGGCAGCAGUAAGGAAUAUUGGGCAAUGGGCGAGAGCCUGACCCAGCCAUGCCGCGUGCAGGAAGACUGCCCUAUGGGUUGUAAACUGCUUUUAUAUGGGACUAACCGUGGCUACGUGUAGCCAUCUGCAUGUACCAUAUGAAUAAGCAUCGGCUAACUCCGUGCCAGCAGCCGCGGUAAUACGGAGGAUGCGAGCGUUAUCCGGACUUAUUGGGUUUAAAGGGUGCGUAGGCUGGUAAAUAAGUCAGUGGUGAAAAAUCUGGGCUCAACCGAGAUCCUGCCAUUGAAACUGUUUACCUGGAGUGUAAACGAAGUGGGCGGAAUGAGGAGUGUAGCGGUGAAAUGCAUAGAUAUUCCUCAGAACACCGAUAGCGAAGGCAGCUCACUAGGAUACAACUGACGGUGAGGCACGAAAGCGUGGGGAUCAAACAGGAUUAGAUACCCUGGUAGUCCACGCUGUAAACGAUGAUCACUAGGUGUGUGCGAUACACUGUCUGUGGCUAAGCGAACGCGAUAAGUAUCCGCCUGGG